AUCUGUCCUCGGUUUUGAGGGAGUCGGUUUCCUUAGUAGAUAAAGAAUUCUUGAGCAGGAAGAUCACGAUCAAACAAGACCUGUCCGCCACGCUGUCGCCGGUGAUGGGAGACCAGGAUCAACUCAAGCAGGUAUUCCUAAACCUUCUGGUCAACUCCCGAGAUUUCAUGCCUGAGGGGGGAGAGAUCAGAGUGAGCGCGCGUAAUGUGGAUUCCGGCGUAACGGUCGAAUUUUUUGACACCGGUCCGGGCAUUUCGGAAGACAACAUAUCCAGAAUCUUCGAGCCGUUUUUCACCACCAAGGAGGAGGGAAGGGGCACCGGUUUAGGU
Molecule: ribosomal RNA, 329 nt
Filed under: uncultured eukaryote
Lineage: Eukaryota
Description: partial small subunit ribosomal RNA
Source: RNAcentral